RNAcentral lists this transfer RNA (72 nucleotides) under Pseudoglomeris planiuscula. Its description in RNAcentral is "tRNA-His". Lineage: Eukaryota; Metazoa; Arthropoda; Insecta; Blattodea; Blaberidae. The record is from RNAcentral.
ACUUAAGUAAUUUAAUUCUAAAAUUUCGAUUUGUGGUAUCGAAUAUAUAUAUAUAUAUAUAUAUCUUAGGUU